GACAAAAACUAUCCGAUGAAUUAUCGUGUGAAGGCUGCGCACGUCAGUUUGCAGAGAAUAUUUCCUCACAAAAAAUAUGAUUUUAAAAUAUAAGUGAAGCCAAAUUUACGUUAAAAUACCUCACCUGAACUGAUUGUCAAUGGAGUAUAUGUGACAACAAACUCAGUUCAGCCAGUUGAUGUAACACCAAUGAACCAUUGAUGUAAAGUAAGGGCCAAGUAUCAAUACGGAAUUGACACUGCGUUUGUACUGCGUCGAUAAAGAAGAAGAGGAAGACAAAGAGUCACAGAAGGGGCGACAAGAACAAAUUGCGUUUGUUUCAGGCAACAGAGGUGACAUAAAAAAUGAGACAUUGAUAGCGACAUAAUUACAUUGUACACUAACCUACCGAUGCACAUAAAUCAAAAAUUGGAUGGAGAUAUUGUUACAAUUGCUUCAUAAUUAACUAUGGUAGACUAUUCUACUAAUGUAAACCAUUAAACGAAGACUGAUAUGUUUCACAAGCGUAAUUAAACGUAAUUAAGUACUUGAUCAAUUGUAACGCUUUAAUAAUCACAAUUGGUUCGUUGAGAUUUGCUCAGUUAUUUUGUUCCAGAAUAUACGGCGAAGUAACGACACAACCAUAGGAAAAGUACAAUCAGUUAUUUUAAACCAGACUUACAAGAAACCGCAAGAAAAAUUGUUGUCACGAAUUUUAUAAAACAGGACGAUCAUAUAACUUGAAAAAUAUUAUUGAUAGAUACUAUUUAAAAAUAAUAUACUUGAAAAUAUAUAACCUAUAAUAGUUUUGUUAAAAAAAUAGAACAGCAUUCAUGAACUGGAAACGUCUAAAAACUGAAAAAUCAGCUAGCGGAAUUUGUAUUCUUUUAUAAAUCGUAGUAAAAUUGCGACUCCUUUUCACAAACAACCACAAACAUCUUACCGUGUGUCAGGUGUGAUUUCUUAUAAAAAUCACCAGUCUGUCAUGAGAAGCAAGACUUGAUUCCAUCUCCAACUAAACAAUGAUAAGGUUUUGAAAUAGAUACUACGAACGAAAAACUUUACGUUCCAAAGAAGAAAUUAAAGGAGUUGUUAUUACUCGUUAAGGUAGCAUUAGAACGCAAAAGAAUCACGCCAAGACAAAUGUCGAGAAUUGCCGGAAAUCUUAAUUCCAUGAGUACCGGAAUAGGUUCACUAUGCAGGUUGUUCACACUCCAAAUGUAAGGUUUAUUAUAUCGAAUCGGAAUGUUUAUAAGAACUAAACUUUUGGAAAUAUAUAUAUAUACAAUUGGUUUUGCUAACAACAUAAACAAGUUCUUUGGUAUUCUGAUAAUUUUAAUGUUUCGCGCAUCAUUGAAGUCGGUAGUACAAAACCUCAAUUGCAAGCAUUAGCCGUACUAAUUUUCAACUUUUGUAUUCAAUACGACAAUAAAUUAGAAUCGUCGUGGAACCCUAGAGAACUUAAUACUUUGGCUGAUGAGUUAUCAAAAUAUAACGAUGCGGACAAUUAAACAUUUUCUUUCAUUCAGAGUAAAUUUGGCACAUUUACGCUUGACAGGUUUGCUGAUAACUUGAACAAAAAAGUGCCAAAGUUCAAAAUUUUAUUGCCCAGGGACGUCUUGCGUUAAUAAUUAAUACAGCAUCACUUUGAAAUGUCU
Molecule: long non-coding RNA, 1637 nt
Organism: Hydractinia symbiolongicarpus
Lineage: Eukaryota; Metazoa; Cnidaria; Hydrozoa; Anthoathecata; Hydractiniidae
Exons: 4
Source: RefSeq, a predicted model, not a curated record